AGUGAACGCUGGCGGUAGGCCUAACACGUGCAAGUCGAACGGCAGCACAGUAAGAGCUUGCUCUUACGGGUGGCGAGUGGCGGACGGGUGAGGAAUACAUCGGAAUCUACUUUUUCGUGGGGGAUAACGUAGGGAAACUUACGCUAAUACCGCAUACGACCUACGGGUGAAAGCAGGGGAUCUUCGGACCUUGCGCGAUUGAAUGAGCCGAUGUCGGAUUAGCUAGUUGGCGGGGUAAAGGCCCACCAAGGCGACGAUCCGUAGCUGGUCUGAGAGGAUGAUCAGCCACACUGGAACUGAGACACGGUCCAGACUCCUACGGGAGGCAGCAGUGGAGAAUAUUGGACAAUGGGCGCAAGCCUGAUCCAGCCAUACCGCGUGGGUGAAGAAGGCCUUCGGGUUGUAAAGCCCUUUUGUUGGGAAAGAAAAGCAGCAGGUUAAUACCCCGCUGUUCUGACGGUACCCAAAGAAUAAGCACCGGCUAACUUCGUG
Molecule: ribosomal RNA, 492 nt
Filed under: uncultured bacterium
Lineage: Bacteria
Description: partial 16S ribosomal RNA
Rfam family: Bacterial small subunit ribosomal RNA
Source: RNAcentral